Molecule: ribosomal RNA, 360 nt
Filed under: Clostridiales bacterium
Lineage: Bacteria; Bacillati; Bacillota; Clostridia; Eubacteriales
Description: partial 23S ribosomal RNA
Rfam family: Bacterial large subunit ribosomal RNA
Source: RNAcentral
CAAGGGUUUGGCUGUUCGCCAAUUAAAGCGGUACGCGAGCUGGGUUCAGAACGUCGUGAGACAGUUCGGUCCCUAUCUGUCGUGGGCGUAGGAUAUUUGAAAGGAGCUGUCCCUAGUACGAGAGGACCGGGAUGGACGCACCUCUGGUGCACCAGUUGUCAUGCCAAUGGCACAGCUGGGCAGCUAUGUGCGGAACGGAUAAACGCUGAAGGCAUCUAAGCGUGAAGCCGCCCUUAAGAUAAGAUAUCCCACUGAGUAAUCAGGUAAGACCCCUUGAAGACUACAAGGUUGAUAGGCUCAAAGUGUAAGCGUGGUGACAUGUUUAGCUAGCGAGUACUAAUCGGUCGAGGGCUUGACCAU